UGGAGGAUAUAGAAUCAGAAUUGUUAAGGUUGGAAGAGACCUUUAAGAUUACCAAGUCCAACUAUUAAUCCAGCACUGCCAAGUUCACCACCAAACCAUGUCCCCAAGUGGCACAUCUGUACAUCUAUAGAUAAACACAUCUAUACAUCUAUAAACACCUCCAGGGAUGGGGACUCAGCCACUUCCCUGGGCAUCCUGUUCCGUGGAGAAAUUUUUCCCAAUCUUUGGUCUAAACCUUGGUGAAAACCAAGGUUUUCACAGGACUUCCCCAAGAGCUGCCGGGAGGAAGUUUGUAACAACUGAGUGUAUGACAGGAUUUAAACUAAGUGUAACUUAGUUCAGGCUGAAUGUUUCUCAUGAAUCUGACAAUGUUUAGUAUGUUACAUGUAUUGUAUCAUGGAAGUAACAGUAACUGCUGAACACCACAAGUUCACUAGAAAUCUCCUUGAAACAAUAAUUGUAUCUCUCAAAUUAAGCUUGGAAUUACUGUUGCCUGUCAGAUGAAAAUAGCCCUUGAAAGAACAAGUCAAUACAGGAUUUCAGAAAAUCCUACAAAAAUCAGAAAUAAAUGGAAAAUGCAUUCAAAGAAACUCUGGUGUAAUAGAGGGAGCAUCAUUAAUGGUUUUUUCUUUUCUUUGAAAUGAUAGAAAAAAUACUCAUUAAAGAAUUUGUUCAUUUUAUUUUACAUGGAAGGAACUACUCUUCUGUGGAUGAGCAUGUGUGAUGGUUGUAUUGACAAUCAACUGCUGACAGAUAAUAAGACUUUGUUGUUGAAAAAAAUAUAUGUGUCUUUUCAGGACUUUUAAAAUUGGAAUGUAGUUAUUGCUCAUCAAUUUACAAUUGGUUGUUGUGUAUUAAAUAAUUUCCUGAGGCUUUCUUGCAAUGUUCACAAGCAACAUUGAAGAUGCUGAAUUUUUAGAAAGAACUAUUCCAGGCAAGAUAAAAAAGACUGUAGAUUUCAUGGGCUGCAGAACACCCUGAGGUGAAAUUACAUGAUGAAUUUUUCAAGCCUAACUUCACGGCAGAUGAAUUAUACAUUAAUAGUUUAUUUUGAACAAAGCUUGGCACUUCUUCUUGGAUUGAACCAAUAAUAUUAAAUUACCUGUUGCAUUGAAUUAAUCUGGAUGUUACCUGGGGCACAGUGGCAUUUUCCUUUUGCAUUUCCUUUUAACAUAUACUUUUAUAUGCCCACACCCAGUUUGAAAUAACACAGGUAUAGUUCUGUGUUUAAACCAGUAAAUUUAAAUUUAAACCAGUAAAUUUAAAUGCCUGGGCCAGCACUGUUAACCCCAGUCAGCAACAAUCCCCUAAUUCCCACAUCACUGUAAUAGUUACCACUUAGAUAAAGCUUUUGAAGAGGUCAUCUUGCAGAGAUUUUCAUGCAGCACCAUUUCUGUAUAAUUUCUCCUUCUCUCCAUUACUUUAGUAUAUGCAGCUUUUUUCAAAAGUGUCUCUGUAGCUUGCCCUAGCUGUUGUAGUGGGCAGGUACAUCACCAGGGAGGCUUCUAGAUGAUCAGAUCUUUAUUUCCUCAAAGCUUUUGCCCUCAAGGAACUGUAGAAGCAUGAGAAAAAGACAUUUUUGGUAGCAAAAGGUUUUCUGGGUCAUUGUAAAGUAAAGGCAAAAGUGAAAGUAAAGUGUGGAUCAACAACAUGCAAAGGUAGAGAAACUGCAAGAGUCAUACACAAAAAGUGAAGAAGGAAGGAAAAAGCUCUUCUCCCUCAUUUGUUCUUCACACUAGUGCAUGCCCAUGUGCACCUCACAUUUCUGCAGUUAGAUGGAAUUGGAUGAUACAGUCCUUGGGAAUGACCCUGAGCUGUAGUAACAGCUGGAAUAAAUGGUCCAGAAUCUCAUUCUGAAAAUGAGUUUACUGAGAAGGGUGCAGACCUUGUGGGAGACCAGGAUCUUCUUCAGCUGAACCUGACCUGGAAGAGAUAAAAUGCAAACAUCACCAAGGAAGGAAAGUAUCUCAAGCUGAGUAUCCUAGGCAGCUUAACCACAUUUGAUCAGAGACUGAUCCUGUUCUCAAGGGGGAAAGUGCUGAUGAAUGAAGACACCUUUUCUGAACUGAGUGCCCUGGAGAGAAUUGAAGCCCCCAACACAAGAAAGCAGAAGGAAAGAAAGAAGUGUCAGUUGCAAAAGUGGGAGUGAAAGGUGCAUAUGGAAUCAGAAGAUAGUAUACUCAUAAUUUCAGGUUUUGUAAGGCAUUAAGCAUUCAGCAGAGAUCUUGGAAACCCUCCAGGUGUUUUGUCACCAGUUUUUCUCUAUUUUUUCUGCUUACCAGUAGGUCAUCAGAACAUGGCACAAUACCUUUUGCAUCAGCUGCAAGGGGAGGAUGAGAAAGAUUAGUACACAUUUGUGUUGAUGUAUGUGAGCAAGCAAUGUUCUGUGCUGGUUUUGCUUGUGUGAUGCCAAAUGUCCUAAGCAUGACUGUGCUUGUUGCUCAAUAAAGUUUCUGAAAAUAUUAUGACUUGUCUAAAGAAA
Long non-coding RNA from Melospiza georgiana, 2482 nucleotides. RefSeq lists it as uncharacterized. NCBI's taxonomy places the organism in Eukaryota, Metazoa, Chordata, Aves, Passeriformes, Passerellidae. The transcript is spliced from 2 exons. The record is from RefSeq and is a predicted model, not a curated record.